Molecule: transfer RNA, 71 nt
Filed under: Elusimicrobiota bacterium
Lineage: Bacteria; Pseudomonadati; Elusimicrobiota
Description: Elusimicrobia bacterium (aquatic metagenome) tRNA-Met
Rfam family: tRNA
About the family: Transfer RNA (tRNA) molecules are approximately 80 nucleotides in length. Their secondary structure includes four short double-helical elements and three loops (D, anti-codon, and T loops). Further hydrogen bonds mediate the characteristic L-shaped molecular structure. tRNAs have two regions of fundamental functional importance: the anti-codon, which is responsible for specific mRNA codon recognition, and the 3' end, to which the tRNAs corresponding amino acid is attached (by aminoacyl-tRNA synthetases). tRNAs cope with the degeneracy of the genetic code in two manners: having more than one tRNA (with a specific anti-codon) for a particular amino acid; and 'wobble' base-pairing, i.e. permitting non-standard base-pairing at the 3rd anti-codon position.
Source: RNAcentral
GCCAGGGUAGCUCAGACUGGUCAGAGCGAGCGCUUCAUAAGCGUUAGGUCGUGGGUUCAAAUCCCACCCCU